GGUUGAUCUCCUAGGCCGUGCAGGCAAGCUCCACGAGGCCUUUGAAUUCAUAGAAAGAAUGCCUUAUAAACCAAAUGCUAUUAUUUGGAGGACUCUGCUUGGAGCCUGUGUAAAUCAUAACAGUCUUGCAUUAGCAGAGGAAGCAAAGGAGAAGAUCAAUCAGCUAGAACCCCAUCACGAUGGCGACUAUGUGCUUCUAUCAAACGCUUAUGGUGAAGUUGGAAGAUACACUAAAAAAGCUGAGCUUAGAACCUCCAUGCAAGAGAAGAGAAUUAGUAAGAAACCUGGAUAUAGCUUGCUGACAGUGGACGAGGAGAUUCAUGAGUUUGUAUCAGGAGAUAGUUAUCAUCCUGAAUCAGAGGAAAUCAGGAAAUUCCUAGUCUGUAUAAUUGAUAGUCUUAGAGAUGAGGGGUAUACACCACAUACCUCCAAUGUGUUUCAUGACAUUGAAGAGGAGGAGAAAGAGCAUAGUCUUAGCUAUCACAGUGAAAAGUUAGCGGUUGCUUUUGCUCUUCUUAGGUUUAAGGACAGAAGAACCAUAAGAAUCAUGAAAAAUGUCCGAACUUGUCGCGACUGUCAUUGCUUCCUGAAGCAUGUCUCAGGCAAGUUUGAUAAAGAAAUUAUCGUCAGGGAUCGGAAUCGGUUCCAUCAUUUCAGCAAUGGAACUUGUUCUUGCCAAGAUUAUUGGUAAGAAAUGCUCCACUUUUAGCCCUCUUGACCUACCUUUCUUUCAAGAAAAGAAAAGAAAAGAAAUGAAAACCCUAAAUCGUUUUCCAAAGACUUCCACUACCUGUAGAAUCAAAUAAUCAAAUACUUGAACAAAGAUAACCAAACAAUAACAAGAAAGCAAGUAAAUAUGAAUUAUAACUAAACAUCAAGUAGUUAGAAGCAGAAAUUAUACCAGUAAACACUACAAAAGGAGUGUAAAGAACAGUACCCAAAUGGAGGAACAAGCUAGAGGGGGUUUCUGUGCUUAGAUAGUUGAAGAUGAGUGAGUAGAUUAAUAGCAGUAACUGCAGAGAUAACAACAAGAACAGGAAUAAGAAAUGGCAAAAUUAGCGUGAUUCUGAACUGGAAGGGAACUACUAGGGAGGGGCCACACCCAUUUACUGAUAAAAGAUCAGGAUUCUCCAUUUAGACGUUUUUCUAUCUUUAUUUUUAAUUUUAAAAUACCAUUUUUUUAUCCGUUUUGCAUUGUUCAUAGGUCGGAGGCUGGAGAGAGAGAGAGGGAGAGGUUCGAUUCAACCGACACCCCAC
Molecule: unclassified non-coding RNA, 1257 nt
Filed under: Hevea brasiliensis (rubber tree)
Lineage: Eukaryota; Viridiplantae; Streptophyta; Magnoliopsida; Malpighiales; Euphorbiaceae
Source: RNAcentral